This 252-nucleotide ribosomal RNA is filed under the name uncultured bacterium. RNAcentral describes it as "partial 16S ribosomal RNA". It matches the Rfam family "Bacterial small subunit ribosomal RNA", at positions 524 to 776 of the family's 1533-position model. The record is from RNAcentral.
UACGUAGGUCCCGAGCGUUAUCCGGAUUUAUUGGGCGUAAAGCGAGCGCAGGCGGUUGGAUAAGUCUGAAGUUAAAGGCUGUGGCUCAACCAUAGUAUGCUUUGGAAACUGUUCAACUUGAGUGCAGAAGGGGAGAGUGGAAUUCCAUGUGUAGCGGUGGAAUGCCUAGAUAUAUGGAGGAACACCGGUGGCGAAAGCGGCUCUCUGGUCUGUAACUGACGCUGAGGCUCGAAAGCGUGGGUAGCGAACAGG